GCCGGGUGUGGUGGCGCACACCUGUAAUCCCAGCUACUUAGGAGGCUGAGGCAGGAGAAUCACCUGAUCCCAGGAGGCGGAGGUUGCAGUGGGCCAAGAUCGCACCAUUGCACUCCACCCUGAGGGACAGAGUGAUACUCUGUCUCAA
Unclassified non-coding RNA from Macaca fascicularis (crab-eating macaque), 148 nucleotides. It matches the Rfam family "Metazoan signal recognition particle RNA". Rfam says of the family: The signal recognition particle (SRP) is a universally conserved ribonucleoprotein. It is involved in the co-translational targeting of proteins to membranes. The record is from Ensembl. Lineage: Eukaryota; Metazoa; Chordata; Mammalia; Primates; Cercopithecidae.